Molecule: ribosomal RNA, 404 nt
Filed under: uncultured bacterium
Lineage: Bacteria
Description: bacterial SSU rRNA
Rfam family: Bacterial small subunit ribosomal RNA
Source: RNAcentral
UGGGGAAUUUUGCACAAUGGGCGGAAGCCUGAUGCAGCGACGCCGCGUGGAGGACGAAGGCCUUCGGGUUGUAAACUCCUUUUAUCGGGGAAGAUAAUGACGGUACCCGAUGAAUAAGCCACGGCUAACUCUGUGCCAGCAGCCGCGGUAAGACAGAGGUGGCAAGCGUUGUUCGGAAUUACUGGGCUUAAAGGGCGCGUAGGCGGUGGGACAAGUCUGAGGUGGAAUUCUAGAGCUUAACUGUAGGAUUGCCUUGGAAACUGUUUCACUUGAGUCGGACAGGGGAAGGCGGAAUUCCUGGUGUAGCGGUGAAAUGCGUAGAUAUCAGGAGGAAGGCCUGUGGCGAAGGCGGCCUUCUGGGUCUUGACUGACGCUGAGGCGCGAAAGCGUGGGGAGCAAACAGG